Long non-coding RNA from Mus musculus (house mouse), 4644 nucleotides. RefSeq annotates it as predicted gene, 19708. The record is from RefSeq and is a predicted model, not a curated record. The transcript is spliced from 3 exons. Lineage: Eukaryota; Metazoa; Chordata; Mammalia; Rodentia; Muridae.
AUGAGGUGGGGUGAGGGCUUCUUCCCAUAUAGGUGGGAGUGGCAACUAGUGUAAAGUAGUUAUCUGCAGAGAGUGGGGCGGCAGUGGCCUGGAACUGAUUAUUGAAUGAGCAGGAAGUCCUGUGGGGGGAUGGGCAACUGAGCAGCAGAUGGACAUUGAUCACCACAUUCCAGAUAAUGGGACCCAUAUUCCUCCCUGUGGGAGAAGGUGUCGCAACCAUGAAAACCUAGAAUGAGCCUUCUGGUACUGAUAAGGAUUUCAGUUGUUGCUGUGUAACUAUGGAGGGGAGAAUCGACAGACGAACAGAUGGACUGAUAGACGCAGAUAUAAAUUCAUAGGUACACAUGCAGACACGUGUGUCUUUUCCUUAUCCCUGAGUAGGUAGGAGAGUGACAUUUCAAUCAAAACAGGUAUCUAUGUGGUUCAGAUAUCAAGUUGUGAAGUACUAUUUUAUAGACAAAGAAGAAGACAUUUCUCUUGAAAAAUAGUUGACUUUAGAUAUGACACAAGGAAAGCAUGGGCCAUGUCUGGGACACCUUGCUAUGUCAGAAAGUCAAGUUAUCAAAGCAUCAGGAGGCCAUAGACACAGACAUAGACACAGAGACACCCUGAAAGGCCUCUUACUCACCAAAUCACAGACAAUUCUGAAAGAUCAAAAUAAAUUGUGAUAGGAUCUUAACCUAUCAACACAAAACACUGGAUAGCACGGGAAAUCAAAAGCUCUCCCUAAAAUCAGCCCAGCAAGAACGUCCGAGACUCACCACUCGCAAUAACCGGAACAAUGGUUAAGACAGCCAAUAAACGCCAACUGAUGGGCAAAGUUUUAGUAAGGAGCAGAAUGCAUACUCAUUAGGAAGGAAUGCAUAUUUGAAAUUCUCUGGUAGAUUAAUAAAGAUUCCUGAAAUCUUUAUUAUUAACAACAACAACAACAAAAAGAAUAAAAUGAUUCUAAAUGGAAGAAAGCUGUCGAAGCCUCUCAGUUGCUCAAACCUUCCUUAGGGGGAAACAGCAAACCUGGAGUGUCUGAGGAGGCAGUGAGGGAGGGCCACGAGAGAGAGCCCCUUGUGGCGUUCCUACCAAACCACACACUCCAACCUAAUCACAACUCCGCGAGAGACAAGCCAGCAUGGGGAAGAGUUUACGAAUGGACUGAGUUUUAAUUUUCAAAAAUGAAAGAGGAGGGAACUCAAGGCAAAACAGGAGUUGGGACAGGCAGGACAGUCAAGAGACAGGACACGUAAGACCAAGGACAGGAUCUUUGUAUGGAUGAAGCAAAGCUCACCAAGCUCUGUGGUUACAAUGGUGGCAUAGCAACUUCCUAACUCGGAUUGUGGUGUGUGGUCAUGGAAGCAAGUGUCUCUGUCCGUAGGAAUACACACUGCUGUGUUUAAAAUGAUCAGGCAUCCAAUAAGCAAUUAACUCAUAAAUGGCUAUUGGAAAACAAAGCUUUUUAGAUUAUUCUUGCAAUUAUCCUGUCAAUUCAAAAUUAUUUCAAAUCUUAAAAUGUGAUUUUAAAAAAAACCCAGCCAACCAGAAUGACUGUUUUAAGUAAACCAAUAUACUCAGUAGUAGAAUAUUAAGGAAUUUACUUAAUUGUGUUUUAGGAAACCAUGCAAGCUACCAAAGAUGUUCACAGGGUAUAGUUAAAUAUAUAUAACUCUGUAAUAAAGAGCCUAAAUACACACACACACACACACACACACACACACACAGAGAGAGACAGAGACAGAGACAGCGAGCCAGAGAGAGACAGAGACAGGAAGACAGAGAGAGACAGACAGACAGAGACAGAGAGACAGAGGCAGAGAGAGAGAGAGGGAUACACAUGGACACAUCGAUAAACAUGCUGGAAACGUAUAAAGGAGGCACCCAAGAAGAACCAUCACACAUCGUAGAUCAUAUAACAGAGAAAGAUGUCACAAAGCAAAGGAACAUCCUCUUUUGAAGGAAAGGGUUGUUAAAAGGAAGCUGAGGAAUCAUAUAUUCUCACUAAGCCAGGCUGGGUCAGGAACUUGGAAUACAUUGUCUCCAGGAGUAUAACUGCACCGUCUAUUAUCAUGUUGUCUGUAUCUUUGUAGCAUCUUGAUGGUGACCACUUACGUCCUAAGAGAUCGCCUGGCCUCUAACUCAGCAGCAAGUCCACUGAACACUCAGUAAUCAGGGGGUCUCUUUCAAACUGUGAAGACUUAACUUAAGUGACUAAAACUCUCAGACUUUUUCAGCAUCCAGAACAAAGACUCAGUCUGUGCAGCGAGGGAAGGAGAGCUGGCAUGGGAGCCAUGCUCCCUGCAGGACACUUAGCUCAUCUCAGCCAUCCCUCUGCUGGGAAGCAGCACAGGUUAGCCCUCUUGUGCUCUAGAGCCUCACCUUCCCUCUGGCCCACUCCUAGCGAUGCUGACCUUGUUGGUCCUUGAAGCCCUUCUGUGGAAUGUCUGCCUCAGGGAUCUUGUGUGUUAUUUUUUUCUCUCUACUCUGCCUUCUUACUCCUUAACGUGAACUGUUCUUUUCUUUAGGAAAAAAAAUUUGUUGACAAUUUCAUACAUGCACAUAACCCAUUUUCUCCUUCCUCUAAAUGACAUUUCUGCUCCAAUGUUUCUUACCCAGGGAAGUUGCCCUGUCCCUCCGUGUAACCUGUUUGGUGUUAUAGUAUGCCAAUUGUAUCGUGACCUCCUCUAUAAUGGAAGCUCAUAGGUCUUUGCCUAGUUUACUGCAACACUUAAAGCUGGUGGUCACUUUAAAAUGUUCAUUUAACAAAUGAAUUAAUUAAAUUUAAUCUUACCUCAGGAGCCUAGUGCUUUCGCAUUUACAAUAUAUGAACAAUAAUUUCCUUAAAGUUGACAAAGGAUGUGAAGUAACUUUAUAUAAGCACCUGCAUUUGGGGGAAAUCGACUACUUUCAGUUUUUUACUUCAAGCAAGUUCUUCUUCUAGAAGUAUGACGUAAUGUUCUUCCUCCACAGACUGGAACUCAUUUCUCAAAAGAGAAAACAGAAAUGUGGAUACCUCAGAGCUCAAAGCUGGGAGAGAGAGAGGUGCCCACAAUGGGUGAGCAGGGACAAGAAUGACAAUCUGACGAGGGCUCUGUUCUCUCAACUAGGUCAGUUCAGGAUUCCGUGAGCAAAGUAUACUGAGAUACAGUCCUGGAUCUAUUAAAAAGCCUCAACUGUUUUGGUUGGUGUCAUUACACAAUAAAGUUCUUAGGCUUCUUCUUGUUAUAUUAUGUGCUUUCCCUGUUGACCAAGCCCUAACCACAGUUUUUAAGUUCUCUCCUGUGUUACAGUGUCCACAUACUUAGUCAGUUGAACUUUGUGACACAUGGAGGAAGCAAACAAAAAGUAGUUAUGACUUCCAUAAUUUGGUCUAAAGAGUCUUAGUCCUAGCUGAGACCAAAGCUACAGAUCAAGUAUUGGCUGACUCUUCCUACUGACCAAAGAUAAACACAGGCAAAAGAGAGCAGAUCGUAGGCUCACUGAUGGCAAGUCUCUAGGAGCCUAACAGAGGCUAAGAGGGAAGGUGGGCAUGGCUCCCACCACUAACCAAGAAGCUGUCUGCCACCGAUACCUGCCGGCAAAAGAAAAAUUAAUUCUCUUUAAUGGAGUCAUACUGGGUAUAUUGGCCACAGUUCAGGGUAGAUCUUAGACCCAGAAGUGGUUGUCCAAUACAAAUCAAACUCACUGGUGCUUGGUAGACUUUUUUUCUUUUAGGAGGCAUUUUUUUUGUCUUAUUGGUCUUUUGAUUAUGUAUUUUGCUUUUGAUUUUUUUGUGUUUUUAUGGUACAUUUCUUGGUUUUUGUUUUUUAAGAAAGAAGGGGCAUGAAUUGGAUGGGUAUGGAGAUGGGGAAGGUCUGGGAGAUGCUGGGGAGGGAAAAGUAUGAUCAGAAUAUAUUGUAUAAUUUUUUUUUAUCUUAAAAAACAGAAGAGGAGGAGACUGUGAAGAUAAACAGUUGAUACACGAGGUGGUUUUGUGACAGCUAAGAACAGGGAAAGAGGAAGCUACGAAGGGAACUGGCUGGCAAGAAAAGAAGAACUGAGCAGAGUUGCAGAGGAUGAGAGUCCAUGAUGGAAGAGCAGAAAUGACAGCAGGGUGACACAUGGCUAGAGGAGCAACUGAGAGCUCAUGUUUUGAUCCACACUCAGGAAGGAGCAGUGAUAGAGUUGCCGAUGCUUCCUCCAAGUCUCCUCAAGAUUGCUCUCCAUGUUGCUACAGUACCCUCUGCCACGGGCCAUCCCAGAGCACUCCCACGACAAGUGACCAUUGUGUAUUGGAACCGUCACUUGCUUUGCUUCUGCUGGACGCAAGCACUUACUUUGUUGAACUAAACUCAAUGGAUUGAAACUAUGAAGCUUAUCAAUACUAAGUAUUAAGUAGGUUUGGGUUCCAGAGACCAAGCUCAGGUUUUCAGGGCUGUGAGGCAAAUGCUUUGACCCACCGGGCUAUCUUGCUGGUCCAAAUAGAUGCAUUUUGCUACAGAUCAGCUGAGUUUUUACCCUUAACUUUCAAGAUACACUAUUUUUCAAGAUAGGUACACUUAAACACUUUGAAUUUAUAUUUUUUAAAGACUCAUUUAUUUUAAUACGCAUGGAGCUAGGCCUGCAUAUAUGUCUGUAUGUGGACAUCACAUCCCCUGGAACGGGAGUUACAGACAG